This 433-nucleotide ribosomal RNA is filed under the name uncultured bacterium. RNAcentral's name for it is "partial 16S ribosomal RNA". It matches the Rfam family "Bacterial small subunit ribosomal RNA", at positions 29 to 507 of the family's 1533-position model. The record is from RNAcentral.
AACGAACGCUGGCGGCAUGCCUAACACAUGCAAGUCGAACGAGACCUUCGGGUCUAGUGGCGCACGGGUGCGUAACGCGUGGGAACCUGCCCUUAGGUUCGGAAUAACUCCCCGAAAGGGGUGCUAAUGCCGGAUAAUGUCUUCGGACCAAAGAUUUAUCGCCUUUGGAUGGGCCCGCGUUGGAUUAGCUAGUUGGUAGGGUAAAAGCCUACCAAGGCGACGAUCCAUAGCUGGUCUGAGAGGAUGAUCAGCCACACUGGGACUGAGACACGGCCCAGACUCCUACGGGAGGCAGCAGUGGGGAAUAUUGGACAAUGGGCGAAAGCCUGAUCCAGCAAUGCCGCGUGAGUGAUUAAGGCCUUAGGGUUGUAAAGCUCUUUUACCCGGGAUGAUAAUGACAGUACCGGGAGAAUAAGCUCCGGCUAACUCCGUG